This 463-nucleotide ribosomal RNA is filed under the name uncultured bacterium. Its description in RNAcentral is "partial 16S ribosomal RNA". It matches the Rfam family "Bacterial small subunit ribosomal RNA", at positions 28 to 507 of the family's 1533-position model. The record is from RNAcentral.
GAUGAACGCUGACAGCAUGCUUAACACAUGCAAGUCGAUGGGGAAGUGGUGCUUGCACCAUGGCAACCAUGGCGGACGGGUGAGUAACGCGUAAGGGACUUACCUGCAGGACUGGGAUAACAGGGGGAAACUCCUGACAAGACCGGAUAAUGUCAUGGAGCUGCAUGGCUUUAUGAUGAAAGGAGACGCCUGCGGAGAGCCUUGCGUCCUAUUAGCUAGUUGGUGAGGUAAUGGCUCACCAAGGCGAAGAUAGGUAGCCGGCCUGAGAGGGUGGACGGCCACAAGGGGACUGAGGUACGGCCCUUACUCCUACGGGAGGCAGCAGUGGGGAAUAUUGGACAAUGGGGGCAACCCUGAUCCAGCAAUUCUGUGUGCACGAAGAAGGUUUUCGGAUUGUAAAGUGCUUUCAGCAGGGAAGAAGUAAGUGACGGUACCUGCAGAAGAAGCGACGGCUAAAUACGUG